Molecule: non-coding RNA, 593 nt
Organism: Salmo salar (Atlantic salmon)
Lineage: Eukaryota; Metazoa; Chordata; Actinopteri; Salmoniformes; Salmonidae
Source: RefSeq, a predicted model, not a curated record
GAGAGGAGAGGGAGGAGAGAGAGGAGAGGGAGGAGAGAGAGGAGAGAGAGGAGAGGGAGGAGAGAGAGGAGAGGGAGGAGAGAGAGGAGAUGCAAUCUGGAGACCCUUCCAAGCCCGGACAGUAUCAGUGGAAGUGAUGGGGACCCAGUCAGACCUGAGUGACAGUGGGGCUGAGAGAAGACCAGUGAAGGUGGAGUUCACCCAACACAGUCUCAGUUACAUGGACAGACUUCUCAUCAAGAGACACCGCAGGCUCAUCUCAACACAGUGGACCUCAUCUCAACACAGUGGACCUCAUCUCAACACAGUGGACCUCAUCUCAACACAGUGGACCUCAUCUCAACACAGUGGACCUCAUCUCAGUACAGUGGAUCUCAUCUCAACACAGUGGAUCUCAUCUCAACACAGUGGAUCUCAUCUCAGCACAGUGGAUCUCAUCUCAGCACAGUGGAUCUCAUCUCAGCACAGUGGACCUCAUCUCAACACAGUGGACCUCAUCUCAGUACACUGGAUCUCAUCUCAGCACAGUGGAUCUCAUCUCAGCACAGUGGAUCUCAUCUCAACACAGUGGAUCUCAUCUCAACACAGUGGAU